RNAcentral lists this ribosomal RNA (464 nucleotides) under uncultured bacterium. Its description in RNAcentral is "partial 16S ribosomal RNA". It matches the Rfam family "Bacterial small subunit ribosomal RNA", at positions 338 to 795 of the family's 1533-position model. The record is from RNAcentral.
CCUACGGGGGGCAGCAGUAGGGAAUCUUCGUCAAUGGGCGCAAGCCUGAACGAGCAAUGCCGCGUGAACGAGGAAGGUCUUCUGAUCGUAAAGUUCUGUUGAAGGGGAAAAAGAGCGGAGAGAGGAAAUGGUCUCCGAUUGAUAUUACCCUUCGAGGAAGUCCCGGCUAACUACGUGCCAGCAGCCGCGGUAAUACGUAGGUGGCGAGCGUUAUCCGGAAUGAUUGGGCGAAAAGGGUGCGUAGGCGGCCUGCUAAGUCUGGAGUGAAAGGUACCGGCUCAACCGGUACAGGCUCUGGAAACUGGCGGGCUAGAGAGCAGGAGAGGGCGGUGGAACUCCAUGUGUAGCGGUAAAAUGCGUAGAUAUAUGGAAGAACACCAGUGGCGAAGGCGGCCGCCUGGCCUGUUACUGACGCUGAGGCACGAAAGCGUGGGGAGCAAAUAGGAUUAGAUACCCCUGUAGUC